AAAAAUGUUUUGGGAUUGUUAAUCUGGUCCACUCUUUUGAAGAAAACGGGUAAUAUACCUGCUUAGGAUCGUAGACAGCAUACUCGUUAUAUUCCAGGGGGCUAUCUUGAUGAUCUGAGGCGACUAGUUUACCGCAAGGAACUUUUAUAUCAUCUUUCCAAACAAAGUGUUCUGAUUCAUCUGUUUUCUUCUUCCCCAGUCCCUUCACUCCAAGCUUCUUUUCCUCCAAAGACGAAGUAUCCUGUGUCAAUGAUGUUGAAAACAAAAUAAUUGUUUCGAGUUGGUGAUGUCGAAAACAACUAAUAAAUGCUCUUAGUGAAUGAAGAUAACAAGUCUAUUUUGGAUACCUCGGGUGGGCUUUUGAACUCGGUAACCUCGUUCCCUAGGGAAGCAAUGGCCAAAACCAGGAACCCUUCUGGCCUGUCAACAGCAGUAAAACCAUACCGUGCAGCCUCUGCUGCAGCAUCGGAACAGACUAUAGCUUUGCCAAAC
This 492-nucleotide long non-coding RNA is filed under the name Vigna radiata. Its description in RNAcentral is "long non-coding RNA (VRAD_LNC001557)". Lineage: Eukaryota; Viridiplantae; Streptophyta; Magnoliopsida; Fabales; Fabaceae. The record is from RNAcentral.